UAAGAUUUCCUGGAGAUGGACGGAUGGGCAAUAAUGAUGAAGUUCAUUGCCCUACGUUAGCAACUGGAUGGUGUUCUGGAGAUGUGAUAGGUCCUGGAAUGUGUUCCAAUAACACUGCAAAAGAUUUGAAAUAUUGUGUCCAAAACUAACUUCGGACGUUUAAUACUCUCUAUUUGCCUGAGUAUCUCUUGCCGAUGUACCCAACUGUAAAGCCAAAGAUCUGUAGCAUGAUUAUAAUUUCCUAGAUUUAAAAAGAUACAGCAAUGGAAGAAUGAGAAAUCAACUGCCUCACAAGUUUCCAUAAUUUCCGGCUGGUAAGCGACACCAUAUAUUGCAAGGCAUAUGCGAAUGAUGCAAAGUUAAAAUAUCUCAUGUUAUGAGUGAAGCUGUGAAUUUAAUCUCAACCUUAUUGGGUUGUGAGUCAACAUCAAAUACUAGUAGUAAUGAUGUCAUGAUAUUUUCCUAUCUUAUCUCGAAGAAAUCGGUUGAAAGGUUUGGAAUCUCUGGAAAAAAUGAGCGUUAGUUGUAGUGGUCUUCCAAAAUAUGAUUCCCUUCUUUUUGUUUUCAAUUUUCCUUAGAUCUGACAUUUCAUUG
Molecule: long non-coding RNA, 594 nt
Organism: Saccostrea cuccullata (small rock oyster)
Lineage: Eukaryota; Metazoa; Mollusca; Bivalvia; Ostreida; Ostreidae
Exons: 4
Source: RefSeq, a predicted model, not a curated record